ACCUUAAUUACAUGCAAGUCGAACGAACUCUGGUAUUGAUUGGUGCUUGCAUCAUGAUUUACAUUUGAGUGAGUGGCGAACUGGUGAGUAACACGUGGGAAACCUGCCCAGAAGCGGGGGAUAACACCUGGAAACAGAUGCUAAUACCGCAUAACAACUUGGACCGCAUGGUCCGAGCUUGAAAGAUGGCUUCGGCUAUCACUUUUGGAUGGUCCCGCGGCGUAUUAGCUAGAUGGUGGGGUAACGGCUCACCAUGGCAAUGAUACGUAGCCGACCUGAGAGGGUAAUCGGCCACAUUGGGACUGAGACACGGCCCAAACUCCUACGGGAGGCAGCAGUAGGGAAUCUUCCACAAUGGACGAAAGUCUGAUGGAGCAACGCCGCGUGAGUGAAGAAGGGUUUCGGCUCGUAAAACUCUGUUGUUAAAGAAGAACAUAUCUGAGAGUAACUGUUCAGGUAUUGACGGUAUUUAACCAGAAAGCCACGGCUAACUACGUGCCAGCAGCCGCGGUAAUACGUAGGUGGCAAGCGUUGUCCGGAUUUAUUGGGCGUAAAGCGAGCGCAGGCGGUUUUUUAAGUCUGAUGUGAAAGCCUUCGGCUCAACCGAAGAAGUGCAUCGGAAACUGGGAAACUUGAGUGCAGAAGAGGACAGUGGAACUCCAUGUGUAGCGGUGAAAUGCGUAGAUAUAUGGAAGAACACCAGUGGCGAAGGCGGCUGUCUGGUCUGUAACUGACGCUGAGGCUCGAAAGUAUGGGUAGCAAACAGGAUUAGAUACCCUGGUAGUCCAUACCGUAAACGAUGAAUGCUAAGUGUUGGAGGGUUUCCGCCCUUCAGUGCUGCAGCUAACGCAUUAAGCAUUCCGCCUGGGGAGUACGGCCGCAAGGCUGAAACUCAAAGGAAUUGACGGGGGCCCGCACAAGCGGUGGAGCAUGUGGUUUAAUUCGAAGCUACGCGAAGAACCUUACCAGGUCUUGACAUACUAUGCAAAUCUAAGAGAUUAGACGUUCCCUUCGGGGACAUGGAUACAGGUGGUGCAUGGUUGUCGUCAGCUCGUGUCGUGAGAUGUUGGGUUAAGUCCCGCAACGAGCGCAACCCUUAUUAUCAGUUGCCAGCAUUAAGUUGGGCACUCUGGUGAGACUGCCGGUGACAAACCGGAGGAAGGUGGGGAUGACGUCAAAUCAUCAUGCCCCUUAUGACCUGGGCUACACACGUGCUACAAUGGAUGGUACAACGAGUUGCGAACUCGCGAGAGUAAGCUAAUCUCUUAAAGCCAUUCUCAGUUCGGAUUGUAGGCUGCAACUCGCCUACAUGAAGUCGGAAUCGCUAGUAAUCGCGGAUCAGCAUGCCGCGGUGAAUACGUUCCCGGGCCUUGUACACACCGCCCGUCACACCAUGAGAGUUUGUAACACCCAAAGUCGGUGGGGUAACCUUUUAGGAACCAGCCGCCUAAGGUGACCAGGAA
Molecule: ribosomal RNA, 1463 nt
Filed under: Lactiplantibacillus plantarum
Lineage: Bacteria; Bacillati; Bacillota; Bacilli; Lactobacillales; Lactobacillaceae
Description: bacterial SSU rRNA
Rfam family: Bacterial small subunit ribosomal RNA
Source: RNAcentral